Molecule: ribosomal RNA, 484 nt
Filed under: Ahaetulla travancorica
Lineage: Eukaryota; Metazoa; Chordata; Lepidosauria; Squamata; Colubridae
Description: partial large subunit ribosomal RNA
Rfam family: Bacterial large subunit ribosomal RNA
Source: RNAcentral
ACGCCUGCCCAGUGAACAAUUAAACGGCCGCGGUACCCUAACCGUGCAAAGGUAGCAUAAUCAUUUGUCUACUAAUUAUAGACCUGUAUGAAAGGCAAAAUGAGGGCUUAACUGUCUCUUAUAGUAAAUCAAUUAAACUGAUCUUCUAGUAAAAAAGCUAGAAUUACCACAUAAGACCAGAAGACCCUGUGAAGCUUAAACUAAACUAUUAAAUCCAAUAAUAACUACUUUAGGUUGGGGCGACCUUGGAAAAAAGAAUAACUUCCAAAAGUCUAAUGACAAACAUAGGCCAACAAGCCUAUAAUAAAAGACCCAGCAACGCUGAAAAUUGAACCAAGUUACUCCAGGGAUAACAGCGCAAUCUUCUUCAAGAGCCCAUAUCAAAAAGAAGGUUUACGACCUCGAUGUUGGAUCAGGACAUCCUAAUGGUGCAGAAGCUAUUAAGGGUUCGUUUGUUCAACGAUUAAUAGUCCUACGUGAUCUG